GGCUCCGGACGCGCUAACCCUGGCUAGCCCCGCGAGUGCCUCCCUCCCCGAGCUCCCUUGGCCGUCGACGCCGGCGGCGAUGGCAGCGCGCUCCGACGGGCCUCCCACGCGCGGGCGAGUGGCGUCAUGUGGGCGACGUGGUGGUCUCUCCGGUGUGGAGGUGGGCGAUGAGGUGCGUACAGGGAGGCGGAGCACGGCCGCGGGAGUUUGGAGGAGGUGCUGGUGUGCGGCGGUUCUCCGGAGAGCGCCCGGCGGUUGUCGGAGGGGGCGGCGCGCCCGGUCAUGGAGGCGGCGAAUCUCCGCCAGGUGGGCUGCACAAGCGGCGGUCGGGAGCUGCUGCAGUAGACGGGGCGUGCUCUGCCUCCUAUUGCUGCCGGAGUGGGUGCUGCAGGUGGAGUUGUGGAUGGAGAUGGUGUUGGAGCGGGUUGGAUCUGAGAUGGCGCUCGGACCAGCGGCCUUGAGCGGAGAGCUCCAUGUGGUGGCGUUGGUUGUUUUCUGUUCGUGGGUUUCAGGUGGCUAUGGUUUCAGGUGGCGAUGGGUUUCUGUGCGUGGCUGUCCAAAAGGAGUGGAGCGUUCAGCCAUUGCUUUGAGGCGCCGGCGCCCAUGGCCGUGUUGGUUUUGGAUGGUGGUUUGGAGCUGCUUUUCCUCUGGCCGUGCGGGAGGCGGAUGUUGGUCUGUGUGCCCAUGGCCGUGCAAGGCGCCGUUGUUCUGCAAUGUCAGGUUCACGAUGGCAAGGUGCUGCGGCGGCGGCGGUGCGAUCCUUUACAGAUGAGUGGCCACAAUUCUUCGCCAGGGAUAGGAGAUGGACGACGUUACGGAUGAAAAGCAUGCCCGUCUCCAGUCUAUUUUUGCUCCGGAUAAGUGAUUCUUCCGUCAUAACAUGACGAGGUUCUUUAGUUACACACCUGCAACUUAUUUUUUUUUCCUUUCUAUUUUUGCAGAUUUUGAAUUCAGUGCAGUAGAGAACACCUACAAAAUAAUCACAAGGAUUCAUGAACUCACUUUCGAAUGGCAGAAAUGUGAUGUUCAAUUGGCAUUAACCCGAUUGAUUUCUUGCCUGGGAAGGGGAGACCGAGGAGGAAAUGGCGACCAAGAGGAGCGUGGGCACCCUGGGCGACAAGGACCUCAGGGGGAAGAAGGUGUUCCUCCAUGCCGAUCUGAACGUUUUGCUGGACGACAACCAGAACAUCACCGACGACAAUGGCAUCCGCAACUCCAUGCCGUCCAUCAAUUUCCUCAUGGGGAAGGGUGCCAAGGUCAUCCUGGCCAACCAUCUGACUUAGGAUCGUAGGGAAAGUGUGGACUGUGGAUUCAUACCAGAACUGGAUUGGCGGCGUCAACAACAAUAUUCAAGAUUUCAUGUUUCGUUCAUUUUCAAGCAUCUCUCUUAAAAGGCAAUAUGUGCAGGUUCAUCAUUCAUGCGAGGGAUAUGAAAGAUGAAACAAAAGUAAAAGGUGUUUAUGCCUAUGGAGCAUCAUAAUUGUGAAGGAGUGUCGUGUUGAUUUUAUAAAUCCAGUAUCCUACUACUUGCAGUUUUUGUAGUUCAAUCAAAUAGUACAAUUUUCUAAUGAUAUUUGUUAUGGUUAGAUAUAAAAAAUUCAACAUUUCAAGGUU
Molecule: long non-coding RNA, 1614 nt
Organism: Triticum aestivum (bread wheat)
Lineage: Eukaryota; Viridiplantae; Streptophyta; Magnoliopsida; Poales; Poaceae
Exons: 3
Source: RefSeq, a predicted model, not a curated record